CCUANGGGGGGCAGCAGUAAGGAAUAUUGCGCAAUGGGCGAAAGCCUGACGCAGCGACGCCGCGUGGGGGAUGAAGGUCUUCGGAUUGUAAACCCCUUUUAGGAGGGAAAAUGGGACGAGCAAUCGUCCGGAUGGUACCUCCAGAAAAAGCCACGGCUAACUUCGUGCCAGCAGCCGCGGUAAUACGAAGGUGGCAAGCGUUGUUCGGAUUUACUGGGCGUAAAGGGAGCGUAGGCGGUUUGGUAAGCCCUCCGUGAAAUCUUCGGGCUCAACCCGGAAAGUUCAGAGGGGACUGCCAGGCUAGAGGACGGGAGAGGAGCGCGGAAUUCCCGGUGUAGCGGUGAAAUGCGUAGAGAUCGGGAGGAAGGCCGGUGGCGAAGGCGGCGCUCUGGAACGUUUCUGACGCUGAGGCUCGAAAGCGUGGGGAGCAAACAGGAUUAGAUACCCGUNUANUC
Molecule: ribosomal RNA, 455 nt
Filed under: uncultured bacterium
Lineage: Bacteria
Description: bacterial SSU rRNA
Rfam family: Bacterial small subunit ribosomal RNA
Source: RNAcentral